This 651-nucleotide ribosomal RNA is filed under the name uncultured Actinomycetales bacterium. RNAcentral's name for it is "bacterial SSU rRNA". It matches the Rfam family "Bacterial small subunit ribosomal RNA", at positions 95 to 760 of the family's 1533-position model. Lineage: Bacteria; Bacillati; Actinomycetota; Actinomycetes; Actinomycetales. The record is from RNAcentral.
GUGGCGAACGGGUGAGUAACACGUGGGUAAUCUGCCCUGUACUCUGGGAUAAGCCUGGGAAACUGGGUCUAAUACCGGAUAUGACCUUUCACCGCAUGGUGGGGGGUGGAAAGUUCCGGCGGUAUGGGAUGAACCCGCGGCCUAUCAGCUUGUUGGUGGGGUAAUGGCCUACCAAGGCGACGACGGGUAGCCGGCCUGAGAGGGUGACCGGCCACACUGGGACUGAGACACGGCCCAGACUCCUACGGGAGGCAGCAGUGGGGAAUAUUGCACAAUGGGCGCAAGCCUGAUGCAGCGACGCCGCGUGAGGGAUGACGGCCUUCGGGUUGUAAACCUCUUUCGCCAGGGACGAAGCGCGAGUGACGGUACCUGGAUAAGAAGCACCGGCUAACUACGUGCCAGCAGCCGCGGUAAUACGUAGGGUGCGAGCGUUGUCCGGAAUUAUUGGGCGUAAAGAGCUUGUAGGUGGCUUGUCGCGUCCGCCGUGAAAACCCGAGGCUCAACCUCGGGCGUGCGGUGGGUACGGGCAGGCUAGAGUGUGGUAGGGGAGACUGGAACUCCCGGUGUAGCGGUGAAAUGCGCAGAUAUCAGGAAGAACACCGAUGGCGAAGGCAGGUCUCUGGGCCAUUACUGACACUGAGAAGCGAAAGC